Molecule: ribosomal RNA, 497 nt
Filed under: uncultured bacterium
Lineage: Bacteria
Description: partial 16S ribosomal RNA
Rfam family: Bacterial small subunit ribosomal RNA
Source: RNAcentral
GACGAACGCUGGCGGCGUGCCUAAUACAUGCCAGUAGAACGCUGAAGCGAGGAGCUUGCUCUUCUUGGAUGAGUUGCGAACGGGUGAGUAACGCGUAGGUAACCUGCCUUGUAGCGGGGGAUAACUAUUGGAAACGAUAGCUAAUACCGCAUAACAAUGGAUGACACAUGUCAUUUAUUUGAAAGGGGCAAUUGCUCCACUACAAGAUGGACCUGCGUUGUAUUAGCUAGUAGGUGAGGUAAUGGCUCACCUAGGCGACGAUACAUAGCCGACCUGCGAGGGUGAGCUGCCGAGCUGGGACGGAGAGACGGCCCAGACUCCUGCGGGAGGCAGCAGGAGGGAAUCCUCGGCGAUGGGGGCAACCCUGACCGAGCAACGCCGCGUGAGUGAAGAAGGUUGUCGGAUCGUGAAGCUCUGUUGUAAGUCAAGAACGGGUGUGAGAGUGGAAAGUUCACACUGUGACGGUAGCUUACCAGAAAGGGACGGCUAACUACGUG